AACGGAGGGGACAAGUGUUACUCAUAAUGACUGGGCGUAAAGGGUAUGUAGGCGGUUCAGCAAGCAAUGAGUAAAAUCGAGAUUUAACAGUCUUAAAUGCUUUUUGAACUAUUGAACUUGAGUAUAGGGGAAGGUAGUGGUACUUUUGAUGGAGAGGUGAAAUUCGGCGAUAUUAAGAGGACAACCGCAAGCGAAGGCAACUACCUAUUCUGUACUGACGCUGAGGUACUGAAGCGUGGGGAUCAAAUCGG
RNAcentral lists this ribosomal RNA (251 nucleotides) under uncultured bacterium. RNAcentral's name for it is "partial 16S ribosomal RNA". It matches the Rfam family "Bacterial small subunit ribosomal RNA", at positions 524 to 776 of the family's 1533-position model. The record is from RNAcentral.